This 301-nucleotide ribosomal RNA is filed under the name uncultured bacterium. RNAcentral's name for it is "partial 16S ribosomal RNA". It matches the Rfam family "Bacterial small subunit ribosomal RNA", at positions 509 to 807 of the family's 1533-position model. The record is from RNAcentral.
CAGUCGCCACGGGAAUACGGAGGGUGCAAGCGUUAAUCGGAAUUACUGGGCGUAAAGCGCACGCAGGCGGUCUGACAAGUCAGAUGUGAAAUCCCCGAGCUUAACUUGGGAACUGCAUUUGAAACUGGCAAGCUAGAGUCUUGUAGAGGGGGGUAGAAUUCCAGGUGUAGCGGUGAAAUGCGUAGAGAUCUGGAGGAAUACCGGUGGCGAAGGCGGCCCCCUGGACAAAGACUGACGCUCAGGUGCGAAAGCGUGGGGAGCAAACAGGAUUAGAUACCCGCGUAGUCCCUGUCUCUUAUAC